Chrysemys picta bellii (western painted turtle) is the source of this 370-nucleotide non-coding RNA. Lineage: Eukaryota; Metazoa; Chordata; Testudines; Emydidae. The record is from RefSeq and is a predicted model, not a curated record.
CCAUCCUCUACCUGAGCCAGACGUCCGCCCGGCCAGGGGACUCCGUGCAGCUCCAGUGCUCUGUGUUCUCCAGGGCCCCGGCCACCCGCAUCAUCUUCUGUAAGGACGGGAAGGAGGUUUCAUCCCGGAGGGGCAUAUUGCGAAAACUCACCUACGACUUUGACCAUGUGGUGUCUGGGGGUAGCACCGGGAAUUAUUCCUGUGGGUACGAGAUCAAGGACAGCAACAACCGGGUGAUCAGAUCCCAGCUCAGCCCUGCCCAGCACCUAAGUGUCACUGGUGAUAACUCCAGCAGCGGUGGUGUCGGGGGUUCCUCCCCACAAGGUGAUGACUCCAGCAGUGGUGGUGUCGGGGGUUCCUCCUCACAAGG